Molecule: ribosomal RNA, 235 nt
Filed under: uncultured bacterium
Lineage: Bacteria
Description: partial 16S ribosomal RNA
Rfam family: Bacterial small subunit ribosomal RNA
Source: RNAcentral
GACGAACCGUGCGAACGUUGUUCGGAUUCACUGGGCUUAAAGGGCGCGUAGGCGGCUUGCCAAGUCAGUGGUGAAAUCUUUCGGCUCAACCGGAAAAUGGCUGCUGAUACUGGCGGGCUGGAGGGAGGUAGGGGCAGAUGGAACUUCCGGUGGAGCGGUGAAAUGCGUAGAUAUUGGGAGGAACACCAGUGGCGAAGGCGGCUCACUGGACCGGUACUGACGCUGAUGCGCGAAA